Long non-coding RNA from Lingula anatina, 1411 nucleotides. RefSeq lists it as uncharacterized. NCBI's taxonomy places the organism in Eukaryota, Metazoa, Brachiopoda, Lingulata, Lingulida, Lingulidae. The record is from RefSeq and is a predicted model, not a curated record.
CUUUGUAGCCUUGACUUGGAGCAGAAACGUCUUUUUGCAUAUAAACACAACUUGAAGACUAACUGUGUGUACAGAGGAAACCACAGCUCCCUUUUUUUCUCAUCCAAGGGGAACAAAAUACGCAGAAUGACCAUUUGUACAGUUUUGAAAUCAAGGGUAAGAAAGAAGAAAUAUUCCAGGCGCGAUCGGCAAAUUUUAGUAAUAACUUGCAAGCAUGAACAAUGAACUAUAAUUGUUGCAAAUUAAAAAUUUGAAGAGAAAUCGACUUUUUACGUCAAACUGUUACAUCCAUUACUUUAUUCAUAGUCAUAUCAGAACAGGGAUGGUAUUUUUCGGAAAUUGAUCUACAGGCAUUUGGGAUUUAAUAUGCAGGUUUUGAAGAAAAAAACCCUUAAAAUUAGCGUCUUCGCAUAACGGCCUUGAACGCACGACAAAAGAAAAAUUACGGCAUUGAGAAUACGCCCACAAAAGUCAGGCAUAAAUAUACUUUCGUCCGUCACCGGAUUUAGAUUCAAGACGAUUGGUUAGAUUUUUAAGAAGUGAAAUAAAACUUGCGCAGCUGGAAUUUUACGUAUAUAUACCAGCGGAAACGGGAUAUUGCAGCAAACGAUACAGAACACAGUGCAAGUUUGUGAAAAGUAAAUUUCCGUCAGUCUGUUUAUGAUGUGGCCUUCAAAAGCAUUCGUCUUGUUCAUCGAGCUAUGUUUACUUGCUGCAGCGCAUGGUUGCUACAUUUUUAACGACGGGUGUAAUGAUUUCAGUUGUUGUGAAGGAGACACGAACCCUACCCUCGUCAACCUAGGAGAAUGUUGCCUCAAAUGCACAUGGAAUCAGAACACAUAUUCCCGGGGACAGUGGUUCUACCCGGCUGGCGAGCCUAAUCGUCUUUGUAUCUGUACGUCAUGCGGAAGAGUGUACUGUUCGCCGUCACAGUACCACCUAUGCAGCUCGUCACGAUAUUACAUGAACAGGUUGUGGUUCACGGGUUCAUCGGUCGGUCCACUAUGUCGCUGUCGAUCUGACAAUACUGUUGCUUGUGGUGUUGCUGCAUGCUACAGGCCUUAAAGACUUGAGCCAAGUGAAGAUGGACGACAGGGUGAACAGUCGCCAAAUCCUGCAACGGGGGCAUCAUAGAAAGAAACUAAAAAAUCCGUAUUAUGGCAGCAUGCUAGAUUGACCAUGUUGUUAAUUUUUUUCUAUACGUUGAUGAAAAUUAAAUGGUAAUAAUAUGAAUAAACUGGACCUUUGUUAUAAUAUAUUGAACUAUGAAUCCGGGGAAGGUGUUGGUAGAAUAAUCUGCUGUUUUUCAUUUUAAUGUUCAAAUAUUUCAUAAGAAUACUGUAAAUGUUAUGAGACGAAUUUUAAUGUGAAAACAACUAACCUGUGGCCAAUAAAUGUAUAAAUUGAGCAA